AAAUCUCUUACGACGGUUCCUUAUCGAUACGAGGUCGCGUUCACUCGAUAGGACCUCCUUGUCGAUUUCACGAAUUCUAUCUUUCGGCGACGAUGAUUCGAUGGAUGUUCCAUCCUUCAAUUUUCAUAGCCAUACGGCACAUUUUUCUAAUUUUUAUGGAACGUUUCAAGCGUCCUUCUCGAGCGAAGGAGAGAAAAGCUUACGUUUCUGGUAAGAAAAAGUUGAAUUAGGUAAUAACAUCGGAAUCAGAAUAUCAAUAUUUUAUUAGCGUACCGAAGGUUCGCGCAAUACCCAAGAGCAACUAUCGAGAAGUUUAUUUAUCUUGAAAUUGGAGGAUUAAGGAGAAACUAACCGUAAUCGUCAGACGUCUGACGCUGGAUGUGGUUCCGAUCAGGCAGACGUAGCGUUAGUAGAUAUUUUCCAUCAAUGUCAGACGUUUGUGUACUAAUGCAUCGAAGAUGCACGCUUCUGCACGAUUUUCAGCUGUCGCAUUCGGUUAUCGAUUUAUAAGAAAUCCCACCUUUAUACUAACUUGUAAAUGGUCGUGUAGAGAAACGCAGCCGGUACAGCCAUUGCCUAAUUGAAUCAUUUUAAGCGCGUUGACUUCACUACUACGAAUUCAUUUCUGCUCUUUUGCAUUUUUUAAUCUGCGAAAUUAUAAGCAACGAAUUUAAUUCUUGCGAGGUAAAUUUUUCUGUUAAAAACAGAACAAUACGCGUAUAGUGGGUAACUGGUAUUAUUUAAAUUUGAAAGCAACAUGGGUUAACGUGUUCGUUGUUAGAAAGCGUAGCUGCGUUGAAAUUGCACAUUUCUUUCGUUACAAAUGUCUUCAUCUUCAUUGCAACGUAUUAUGUCUAACGCUUUCUCUAUUUUUCUAAGCCAUAUUGUCGAAAUGCGUAUAAACUGAAAAAACGCAGUAUUCGUGCCAGCCGCAUUACUCGAAUAAUUAAAACGUGGUAACGAACGUAUACAUCGUUAGCGAUGAAACGAAUGAUAUGAAAUUAUAAUUUAAAAGAAGAUGAUACAAAUAACAAUAAAUUCGACGGAAUAUUUUUAAAAUAGCAUUUCAUCGGUCGCAUUCUUGUAUUUUUCAAUUUAUGCGAUCGAUCGAUACGAUAUCUGAGCCAUUUGAACGUUCGAUUCUUAUGUUCGAAAGAUUGGUAAUCCACGAAUCAACUACUCGUUUAACAGGUUAAAAUAAUCGUUUAAACCUCUGAGAAAUUGAUCGAAUAGAAAAAUAGGAGUAAUCAGGGUAGGAAAAAUCCAGCGUGGCAGACGUUAGAGAUACUCGGUAGCGAGAACAAAAAAGUUUGUUCGGCGGUUGCGAAUUUAGGGCGCGAAACGUGGACGGGCGUGGGGCGUCCCUGAAUUUACGGGAUUUUCGUCGGCGGGCGCGAUUUCACCGUGGCGCUUUGCCAUUGUAUUCGCGGAAUUUCUCUCGUUCAUUGUUACAUAGCGGCGUUGGUGGCGCGGUUGGAAAAUUACGAGGCUCCCUCCUCCACUUCCUCUUUCUUCGUCUCUCGUCCGGUCGCGUUAUUUCUCCUGUGUACAAUGACGUGGAAAAGCCGAAGAAGGCUUUCACGCGCGUCCUUGUUGUCGCCUCGUUUUUACCUACGUUUUUUCCUUCCUAUUCGCACCUGUCCGUGACGUCCGAUAACGCGAUUGUAUCUUUCGUCAUAACGAUACGUAGUUUCGCUUUGUUAACCCUUUUGCUGCUUUACCCUUGGAACUGGCAACGUUUUCAAUAUGAGAAAAUUGGCGCUUGAAUACAUAGUUGUAAAUAUUAAUUAUGGUGUAAUUGUCAUUAAUCGCCAAUUACGAUAAAUUCUGACAUAAAUGGAAAUACAAAUGAUUGCGUUGUAUCGAGGACGAGUAUUUAAGGGUUUCAGCGAGUCAUUAAUUGGCCAGUAGUUGAGAACUCAGUGGAGAGGCGCAUUGAGGGAUCCUUUGAGAAAGAACCUGGAUAUAGUAAUUUUUUAAUUCGAUAGGUGAAAUUUUUAAUUCAGUGCGUUUAACUUCGAAGAUAAAUCUUGGAAUUAAAUUACGCGUUUAAACUAAUAUCGAUGAAGUUGAAUUAACGCGAUAACUGAACGAGUCUUAUUCGUUUCUUACAAAUCGUGCAUUUAUCACGUAUUUCCUAUCAGAUUACUAUCUUUCUCGACUGUAUUAUCUAUCGGAGUACUUCUUCUCAGCCAUCGAGUGGAAUAAAAUCAGACA
Bombus impatiens (common eastern bumble bee) is the source of this 2217-nucleotide long non-coding RNA. RefSeq lists it as uncharacterized. NCBI's taxonomy places the organism in Eukaryota, Metazoa, Arthropoda, Insecta, Hymenoptera, Apidae. The record is from RefSeq and is a predicted model, not a curated record. The transcript is spliced from 2 exons.